Molecule: ribosomal RNA, 491 nt
Filed under: uncultured bacterium
Lineage: Bacteria
Description: partial 16S ribosomal RNA
Rfam family: Bacterial small subunit ribosomal RNA
Source: RNAcentral
GAUGAACGCUAGCUACAGGCUUAACACAUGCAAGUCGAGGGGAAACGGCAUUAAGUGCUUGCACUUUUUGGACGUCGACCGGCGCACGGGUGAGUAACGCGUAUCCAACCUUCCCAUGACUAAGGGAUAACCUGCCGAAAGGCAGACUAAUACCUUAUGGUCUUCACUGACGGCAUCAGAUGUUAAGUAAAGAUUUAUCGGUUAUGGAUGGGGAUGCGUCUGAUUAGCUUGUUGGCGGGGUAACGGCCCACCAAGGCAACGAUCAGUAGGAGUUCUGAGAGGAAGGUCGCCCACUUUGGAACUGAGACACGGUCCAAACUCCUACGCGAGGCAGCAGUGAGGAAUGUUGGGCAAUGGGCGAGAGCCUGAACCAGUGAAGUAGCGUGCAGGAUGACGGCCCUAUGGGUUGUAAACUGCUUUUGUAUGGGGAUAAAGUCAAUCACGUGAGAUUGUUUGCAGUUACCAAACGAAUAAAGACCGGUGAAUUCCUU